AAAUAAAAAAGCAUCUUAGGUAUGUUUCUCAUUUGUGACAGUGGAGUUGGCUUCAGGCAAGAGACCCACAAGCCCCAUGGACACUUCUUCCAUGACAAGCUUUUAUUCUGUCUCCAUUCUCCUCCCUGUAUCCAAGUCCAGCUCCUGAGAGAACUCAGUUCUCCCUUGAGAGAGACCUGCGCUGGCACUAUGGAAUAAGCAUGCUACAUUAACUUUCUAAAGGCCACUGGGGAACAAUUUACUGAACUGCAAACUUAAAGGUAAUGUAGUGCUAAGUGGUAUAUCCUUCUAUCCUUCAAAGACUUUAUUGGGCUCCUGUUUCUGGUGAUUAGGGUUGAGGUACCUCAUAUGUUUGUUUCACUCAAGUCUGGCUUUUGUUACAUGCAAAAUGAGAAGGCAGA
Molecule: long non-coding RNA, 401 nt
Filed under: Pan paniscus (pygmy chimpanzee)
Lineage: Eukaryota; Metazoa; Chordata; Mammalia; Primates; Hominidae
Description: lncRNA (ENSPPAG00000045250.1)
Source: RNAcentral